Molecule: long non-coding RNA, 270 nt
Filed under: Serinus canaria (Common canary)
Lineage: Eukaryota; Metazoa; Chordata; Aves; Passeriformes; Fringillidae
Description: lncRNA (ENSSCAG00000007091.1)
Source: RNAcentral
AGGGUUUUCUUGGCCUGCCAGGUGCAAAAGGCACCCAAGGAGAGCAGGGCUGCCGAGGUCCCGGUGGAGCCAAGGGAGAUUUGGGAGCCAAAGGAGGCAAGGGCCCACGAGGAGCACAAGGAGCAAAAGGCCAUCCAGGAGCCCGGGGCCAGGGGGGCUUGCAGGGCUUCCCCGGCCCCCGAGGGGCUGCAGGGCCACGGGGACCAGACGUGAGUGCCACUGCUGGGCUGGAGUGUCACAGGGGGGAGCACACGUGUGACCUGUGUCACA